Molecule: long non-coding RNA, 264 nt
Organism: Corapipo altera (White-ruffed manakin)
Lineage: Eukaryota; Metazoa; Chordata; Aves; Passeriformes; Pipridae
Exons: 3
Source: RefSeq, a predicted model, not a curated record
UGCUGCUGCCAAGCUGGUGUGGAAGAGCAAUUCCACUGGUGCCAGAGGGUCUCCACUGACAUAAACCUGCUGCAAGCAGGGGCUCCACAUUGGACAUUUUACCAGGCAUUUUGAAGUGUUGCUGACUUUAUGCAGAAGAAGUGAGCUCCUCCCCAGAGGAACUUUGCAGCAGAGGUUUUCCCUCCCUCUCUUCGUUCCUGGCAGGAGGAACUGGAGAGCUGUGGUCAGUGGCACUGCUGAAGGACGUGUGGGCUGACACACAGU